RNAcentral lists this ribosomal RNA (253 nucleotides) under uncultured bacterium. Its description in RNAcentral is "partial 16S ribosomal RNA". It matches the Rfam family "Bacterial small subunit ribosomal RNA", at positions 524 to 776 of the family's 1533-position model. The record is from RNAcentral.
UACGGAGGGUGCAAGCGUUAUCCGGAUUUACUGGGUUUAAAGGGUGCGUAGGUGGAUAAGUAAGUCAGUGGUGAAAUCUCCGGGCUUAACCCGGAAACUGCCAUUGAUACUAUUUGUCUUGAAUACUUUGGAGGUAAGCGGAAUAUGUCAUGUAGCGGUGAAAUGCUUAGAUAUGACAUAGAACACCCAUUGCGAAGGCAGCUUACUACGGAUAUAUUGACACUGAGGCUCGAAAGCGUGGGGAUCAAACAGG